This 504-nucleotide ribosomal RNA is filed under the name uncultured bacterium. RNAcentral describes it as "bacterial SSU rRNA". It matches the Rfam family "Bacterial small subunit ribosomal RNA", at positions 107 to 607 of the family's 1533-position model. The record is from RNAcentral.
UGAGUAAUGUCUGGGAAACUGCCUGAUGGAGGGGGAUAACUACUGGAAACGGUAGCUAAUACCGCAUAACGUCGCAAGACCAAAGAGGGGGACCUUCGGGCCUCUUGCCAUCAGAUGUGCCCAGAUGGGAUUAGCUAGUAGGUGGGGUAAUGGCUCACCUAGGCGACGAUCCCUAGCUGGUCUGAGAGGAUGACCAGCCACACUGGAACUGAGACACGGUCCAGACUCCUACGGGAGGCAGCAGUGGGGAAUAUUGCACAAUGGGCGCAAGCCUGAUGCAGCCAUGCCGCGUGUGUGAAGAAGGCCUUCGGGUUGUAAAGCACUUUCAGCGAGGAGGAAGGUGGUGAACUUAAUACGUUCAUCAAUUGACGUUACUCGCAGAAGAAGCACCGGCUAACUCCGUGCCAGCAGCCGCGGUAAUACGGAGGGUGCAAGCGUUAAUCGGAAUUGCUGGGCGUAAAGCGCACGCAGGCGGUUUGUUAAGUCAGAUGUGAAAUCCCCGGG